This 406-nucleotide ribosomal RNA is filed under the name uncultured bacterium. RNAcentral describes it as "partial 16S ribosomal RNA". It matches the Rfam family "Bacterial small subunit ribosomal RNA", at positions 30 to 526 of the family's 1533-position model. The record is from RNAcentral.
AUUGAACGCUGGCGGCAGGCCUAAUACAUGCAAGUCGAACGAGUGGCGGACGGGUGAGUAAUGUCUGGGAAACUGCCUGCUGGGGGGGGAUAAAUACUGGAAACGGUAGCUACUACCGCCUACGAUCAGAUGUGACCAGUUGGGAUUAGCUGGUUGGUGGGGUAACGGCUCACCAAGGCGCGGAUCCCUGGUUGGUAUGAGAGGAUGACCAGCAACACGGGAACGGAGAUACGGUCCAGACUCCUACUGGAGGCAGCAGUGGGGAAUAUUGCACAAUGGGCGCAAGCCUGAUGCAGCCAUGCCGCGAAUAUGAAGAGGGCCUUCGGGUUGUAAAGGACUUUCAGCGGGGAGGCGUUACCCGCAGAAGAAGCACCGGCUAACUCCGUGCCAGCAGCCGCGGUAAUUC